GUGAGGAAUAUUGGACAAUGGGCGCAAGCCUGAUCCAGCCAUGCCGCGUGCAGGAAGACGCAUCUAUGGUGUGUAAACUGCUUUUGUACGGGAAGAAACACUCCCUCGUGAGGGAGCUUGACGGUACCGUAAGAAUAAGGAUCGGCUAACUCCGUGCCAGCAGCCGCGGUAAUACGGAGGAUCCAAGCGUUAUCCGGAAUCAUUGGGUUUAAAGGGUCCGUAGGCGGUUUAAUAAGUCAGUGGUGAAAGCCCAUCGCUCAACGAUGGAACGGCCAUUGAUACUGUUAGACUUGAAUUACAAGGAAGUAACUAGAAUAUGUAGUGUAGCGGUGAAAUGCUUAGAUAUUACAUGGAAUACCAAUUGCGAAGGCAGGUUACUACUUGUGGAUUGACGCUGAUGGACGAAAGCGUGGGGAGCAAACAGGAUUAGAUACCCGGGUAGUCC
RNAcentral lists this ribosomal RNA (445 nucleotides) under uncultured bacterium. RNAcentral describes it as "partial 16S ribosomal RNA". It matches the Rfam family "Bacterial small subunit ribosomal RNA", at positions 354 to 796 of the family's 1533-position model. The record is from RNAcentral.